RNAcentral lists this ribosomal RNA (253 nucleotides) under uncultured bacterium. Its description in RNAcentral is "partial 16S ribosomal RNA". It matches the Rfam family "Bacterial small subunit ribosomal RNA", at positions 524 to 776 of the family's 1533-position model. The record is from RNAcentral.
UACGUAGGGCGCAAGCGUUGUCCGGAAUUAUUGGGCGUAAAGAGCUCGUAGGCGGUCUGUCGCGUCCGUUGUGAAAACUCGAGGCUCAACCUCGGGUCUGCAGUCGAUACGGGCGGACUGGAGUUCGGCAGGGGAGACUGGAAUUCCUGGUGUAGCGGUGAAAUGCGCAGAUAUCAGGAGGAACACCGGUGGCGAAGGCGGGUCUCUGGGCCGAUACUGACGCUGAGGAGCGAAAGCGUGGGGAGCGAACAGG